CCUACGGGGGGCAGCAGUGAGGAAUAUUGGUCAAUGGACGAGAGUCUGAACCAGCCAAGUAGCGUGAAGGAUGACUGCCCUAUGGGUUGUAAACUUCUUUUAUAUGGGAAUAAAAUGUUCCACGUGUGGGAUUUUGUAUGUACCAUAUGAAUAAGGAUCGGCUAACUCCGUGCCAGCAGCCGCGGUACUACGGAGGAUCCGAGCGUUAUCCGGAUUUAUUGGGUUUAAAGGGAGCGUAGGUGGAUUGUUAAGUCAGUUGUGAAAGUUUGCGGCUCAACCGUAAAAUUGCAGUUGAAACUGGCAGUCUUGAGUACAGUAGAGGUGGGCGGAAUGCGUGGUGUAGCGGUGAAAUGCUUAGAUAUCACGAAGAACUCCGAUUGCGAAGGCAGUUCACUGGACUGCAACUGACACUGAGGCUCGAAAGUGUGGGUAUCAAACAGGAUUAGAUACCCUUGUAGUC
This 460-nucleotide ribosomal RNA is filed under the name uncultured bacterium. RNAcentral's name for it is "partial 16S ribosomal RNA". It matches the Rfam family "Bacterial small subunit ribosomal RNA", at positions 338 to 795 of the family's 1533-position model. The record is from RNAcentral.